CCCGCCCCUCCGCUGCGUGCCGCCACCACCGGCUCGCGCUCCUUCGCCGCGCGCCGCCCUGGUCGCCGCCACCGGCCUUUCAUCGCCUCAACGCCCGACGCCUGAAUCUCGCAGGCUCGCCGCACACGUGCUCCCUUGCCAAGUUCGUCCAGGCGGCCGCCAUACUCGUCGCCAUUGCCGAAUUCCCCUACGGCGCCAAUCUCAAGAGCCCCGAAAACUUCUUUGACAACUUGAUUCCGUGCAUCUCGGCUCGAUUACUUCAAUGAGGAGGAAGAUGACGACGUGGCGGAGCUCCUGGACACGGCCGCCUGACCCGGGGACGGCGGGGAGGUCUUCAGCGACGGUGGCCUCUGGUGCAUGCGGAGGUCUAUGUGGAGGCGGAAAUUUAAUUCGACCUCACCUUGGGCUGCCGUCCUCCCCAAGUUCCUGCUGCCGGCGGCCUCCCGAAGCUCCAGCCCACCUCCUCCCCGAGCCCCAAGCACGAACAAGGAAACCUUGACACACGCUUGCGUCCAGUAGCUCGAUCUGCUGAUGCUAGGAGGGGAUUACCAUUAGAGCUGCAGCCGGUGCUGAGCACUCAUAGUUUCAGAUCUAUUGAUUGAUUCUUGACAUCAACGCACUGAAUGGGCUCAGAAACGGAGAAGUGCCAUGGUGUACUGUGGGUUUCAGCCUUUCUGGAGAUGCAUAGUUCAACAAUAUUCUGUAUUAUUGGAGCAAGCUUUUCAUCCAUAAAUUCUAAGGUCACUUACCUUCUCUUUCUUUUCAUCUGCAAUUCUAUGUAAUGCGCGGCCCCUUUCUUCAAAGUUAUUUGCUAA
Molecule: non-coding RNA, 815 nt
Organism: Triticum urartu
Lineage: Eukaryota; Viridiplantae; Streptophyta; Magnoliopsida; Poales; Poaceae
Source: RefSeq, a predicted model, not a curated record